AAUUAUACGAAACAGAGACAGAGGAAGAUUGACAGUUCAGGGGAAAUGUUACAAUACGAAAGGUGUAUAUAAAGAUGACUACUGGAAUCGUUUAGAUUUGCUUAUAUACUGAUGUACAUUUUUUA
This is a long non-coding RNA of Haliotis rubra (blacklip abalone), 125 nucleotides long. RefSeq lists it as uncharacterized. Lineage: Eukaryota; Metazoa; Mollusca; Gastropoda; Lepetellida; Haliotidae. The transcript has 3 exons. The record is from RefSeq and is a predicted model, not a curated record.